Molecule: long non-coding RNA, 1685 nt
Filed under: Sus scrofa (pig)
Lineage: Eukaryota; Metazoa; Chordata; Mammalia; Artiodactyla; Suidae
Description: lncRNA (ENSSSCG00005037734.1)
Source: RNAcentral
CACCUGAGACAUAUGGAGGUUCCCAGGCUAGGGGUUCCAACUGGAGCUGUAUGUAGCCACCGACCACUGCCACAGCCACUCCAGAACCGAGCCGUGUCUGUGACCCACACCACAGUUCAUGGGUUCAUUAACCACUGAGCCACGACAGGAACUCCAUCUUUUUUUUUUAAAUUCAUCCAGCCAUUCUAUGCCUUUUGAUUGGAAAACUUAACCCAUUUACAUUUAGAGUAAUUACUGGUCAGUAAAGGUUUACUACUGCCAUCUUUUAAAUAGCUUUCUGGCUAUGUUGCAGUUUCUUUGUGCUUUGUUUCUUUCUUUGUUUCUUCCUCUCUUGCUGCCUUCCAUUGUGAAUUAAUGAUUCUCCAUAGUGGUAUGCUUUGUUUCCCUUCUCUUUAUCUUUUGUGAAUCUACUGAAGAGUUUUGCUUUGUUGUUAUGAUAGUAACUGCCUUUACUACGCUGAUAACUUCAAUAGCAUAGAGAUACUCUAUCCUUUUAUUUCCCAUUUUAUUUUUUUAAUGUUAAUAUACUUUUUUCUACUGCAUAUUAACAAAUUACAGCAGCUAUAGUUUAAUACUCUUUGCCCUUUAACCUUUACAUUAAAGUUAAGUGGUUAACCCAUAUUAGAGUAUUCUGAAUUUGACUAUACACUUAACCUUUAUCAGCAUGUUGUACAUGUUCAUGUUUUUAUGUUACUAGAGCCUCCUUUUAUUUCAGCUUGAAGAACUUCAACAGUUCUUGUAAGGUAGGUUGAGUGAAGAUAAAUUUCAUCAGCUUAUGUCUGUCUCUUUCAUUUCUGAGGAUAAUUCUUAGUUAGCAGUUUCUUUCAGCACUUUGAAGAUAUCAUCCCACUCUCUCCUGGCCUGUAAGGUUUCUGCUGAGUAAUCCACUGAUAGACUUAGGGGUGUUCCCUUGCAAGUUAUAAUCUUCUUUGAUCUUGAUGCUUUUAAGAUUCUUUUUUCUGAUUUUUGACAAUCUCUUAAUUCCCUGUCUUGGAGAUGAUCUCUUUAGUUUGAUUUUGUUUGGUAUGUAUGUGCUUCAUGAACUUGUAUAUCCAAAUCCCUCCCCUGAUUUGGUAAGUUUUCAGCCAUUAUAUCUCUACUUUUUCUGCCCCCUUCUCCCUCUCUUCUUCUAGAAGUCUAAUCAUGCCAAUUAGUUCAUGGAUCAUGUGGGCUUUCUUGACUCUUUUUCAUUCUUUUUUCUAUUUAGUCCUCUGACUGGAUAGUUUCAAAGUUCCUAUCUUCUAGAUCACGGAUUCUUUCCUCUGCUGGAGUCAUUCUGUUUAUGCUAUUGCCUUUUUAAAACUUAAUUCGUUGUAUUCUUUAACUCUAGAAUUUGUUUGGGUUUUUUUUCCCAUUUAAAGUAUAUGAUUUAAUAACUUUUAGAAGUCACAGAGUUGUGCAACCAUCACAUUUCUAAAAUACUUUAAUCACCACCAAAAGAAAUCCUGUACCCACUGACAGUUCCACCCUAUCCUCCCCACAACCAGCCCUAGGCAACCACCAAUCUACUUUCUAUUUUUUAUCUCUACAGAUUUGCCUAUUCAGGAUGUUUUAUAUAACUGGGAUCAUACAACAUGUGGUUGUGACCAGCUUCUUUCACUUAGCAUAAUUUUUUCAAAGCUCAUCCAUGUUAUAGCACACAUCAGUACUUCAUUCCAUUUUAUUGUUGAAUAAUAGGCUUUGGU